Molecule: small nucleolar RNA, 133 nt
Organism: Prosopis cineraria
Lineage: Eukaryota; Viridiplantae; Streptophyta; Magnoliopsida; Fabales; Fabaceae
Source: RefSeq, a predicted model, not a curated record
AAGCAACAGAUUCGAUAUUAAAAAUGGUGGUAUAUAUUUGAAGUCUGGCAGGAAAAAUAAAUAGGCGGUUCUUUUUGCCUUUCAGAUUUAUUUUAUGUUGUUUGGAUUAUGGCCUCAAACAAGUCACUUUAUC